Gossypium hirsutum (cotton) is the source of this 143-nucleotide non-coding RNA. The record is from Rfam. NCBI's taxonomy places the organism in Eukaryota, Viridiplantae, Streptophyta, Magnoliopsida, Malvales, Malvaceae.
UGUUAAAAAUUUCAUCUAUUUGUACGGUUAAAAAUUGGCGUCUAAUGGAAUAAUCAGGAAGUGAGACUUGGCGUGCUACUUGUACUUCAUACUGACGUACAGAGACUAAUUUUUAAUUGUUGAAAUGGAUGGAAUUUUUAAUA